RNAcentral lists this long non-coding RNA (1370 nucleotides) under Vigna radiata. Its description in RNAcentral is "long non-coding RNA (VRAD_LNC017958)". Lineage: Eukaryota; Viridiplantae; Streptophyta; Magnoliopsida; Fabales; Fabaceae. The record is from RNAcentral.
CGAUACUUAGAGGGCUCUUCUGAAUUCAUAGGAACGGAGUACUCUUGUUGCCAAAUCACUGUUCCAUUGCAAUUGUUAAUCUGAAAUUUUUGAUGUUUUAUAGAUUCUUGAACCAUUAUUAAUCUCAACUGUGAUCUAAUUAACACCUAUAAUGAACACAAUUCUAACUAAUUAGCCAUUUAAAACACUUCUCAUUAACUAUAUUUUAUCGUUCUUAAUGGACAGUCUUCAACGUGAGGCCUUACAGAUUCUCAAUAACGACUUUCCACAUUUAAAAUACUAUCUUGUAAGUCAUCUAAAGAGUAAAAAUCAUUCUUCUGUUGUAAUUAAACUUAGAACCAGAAAAUCUUGCGUGAUGAUAUAAAUCUAUAAUGGUUAAACAUGGUGACAAACUUUCAAUAAGAAAUAUUUUUCAAAGCACUACAGACUACACUCCCAUUCCAAAAACUCCUUUACUUUCCACUUAACAAAUAAACAGUUUUAUUGAAGAACAGUUUUUUUCUUCAUUGCAUAACCAUGAAUUUGAACUAAAUUAAUAGGUAAUUAGUGAUAUCUUGUAAACUUUCAAAUUAUAUACUUCAAUUGCUGUAAGUACUUAUGAAUAAAAGUAAAUAAAAUCCUUCUAUAUUUGUUCUUCUAUGGUUUUUAGUACAAAUGGUAAGAACAAGUUUUGCACCAAACCAGGGUAUUUAGUUUAUAGAUGAAAGCUUCUAGCCACAUUACUUUUGUCUUUAACAAAUUUAUUAUUAUUAUAUAAGUUUGAUAGUAUCACAUUCACGAGUCUAACUGUGCCAAGGCCUGGAAGAAAAUUAAUAUAAAGGGACGCUUGUCAUAACUGUUUCCAUCAAUAAGAACUAAGUGCUAUCUCCCAUGAUUAGGUCGGCUACAAGGAUCAAACAAUGUCAUCUCCAGCUAUUUGAUACUGACUUGGACCAUAGCAACCUGAACAUCAAGUACCCUGCACCCAACAGUCAUCAUCCAUGUCCCACACAGCAUUUCUGUUGGGUGGAAGAGUGCAUUCUUUAUGACUCUCACAACAGGAGAAGAAUGCAUCUAUAUCUACAUUAAUAUGUACAAAUGGAUUGCAUGGAAAUAUAUAUAUAUAUAUAUAUAUAUAUAUAUAUAUAGAUAGAUAGAUAGAUAGAUAGAUAUAGAUAUAUAUAUAUAUAUACAAAGCAUGAUUUGUAUUUUCUACCAGAAAAAUACACUACACAUUACAAUGAAGACACACAACCUACAAAAGGAACCUAGUUCUUACUGUCCACUCUCCUUAUGUUCAUCCUUGUUUGUCUCCAAAUUAAAUCCAAACCCAGCAUCAUCAUACAAAUUUGGAACCAACUGACCAACAUUGCACUCAUUCUUUUGUUCAG